UUGCAAACUAAAGAUGGCGACCGGCGCACGGGCUGAGCUAACACGCUAUCCNACCUGCCGAUAACUCGGGGAUAGCCUUUCGAAAGAAAGAUUAAUAUCCGAUAGUAUAUUAAAACCGCAUGGUUUUACUAUUAAAGAAUUUCGGUUAUCGAUGGGGAUGCGUUCCAUUAGUUUGUUGGCGGGGUAACGGCCCACCAAGACUACGAUGGAUAGGGGUUCUGAGAGGAAGGUCCCCCACAUUGGAACUGAGACACGGUCCAAACUCCUACGGGAGGCAGCAGUGAGGAAUAUUGGUCAAUGGACGAGAGUCUGAACCAGCCAAGUAGCGUGAAAGAUGACUGCCCUAUGGGUUGUAAACUUCUUUUAUAUGGGAAUAAAGUAUUCCACGUGUGGGAUUUUGUAUGUACCAUAUGAAUAAGGAUCGGCUAACUCCGUGCCAGCAGCCGCGGUAAUACGGAGGAUCCGAGCGUUAUCCGGAUUUAUUGGGUUUAAAGGGAGCGUAGGUGGAUUGUUAAGUCAGUUGUGAAAGUUUGCGGCUCAACCGUAAAAUUGCAGUUGAAACUGGCAGUCUUGAGUACAGUAGAGGUGGGCGGAAUUCGUGGUGUAGCGGUGAAAUGCUUAGAUAUCACGAAGAACUCCGAUUGCGAAGGCAGCUCACUAGACUGCAACUGACACUGAUGCUCGAAAGUGUGGGUAUCAAACAGGAUUAGAUACCCUGGUAGUCCACACAGUAAACGAUGAAUACUCGCUGUUUGCGAUAUACAGUAAGCGGCCAAGCGAAAGCAUUAAGUAUUCCACCUGGGGAGUACGCCGGCAACGGUGAAACUCAAAGGAAUUGACGGGGGCCCGCACAAGCGGAGGAACAUGUGGUUUAAUUCGAUGAUACGCGAGGAACCUUACCCGGGNCUUAAAUUGCAUUUGAAUAAUCUGGAAACAGGUUAGCCGCAAGGCAAAUGUGAAGGUGCUGCAUGGUUGUCGUCAGCUCGUGCCGUGAGGUGUCGGCUUAAGUGCCAUAACGAGCGCAACCCUUAUCUUUAGUUACUAACAGGUCAUGCUGAGGACUCUAGAGAGACUGCCGUCGUAAGAUGUGAGGAAGGUGGGGAUGACGUCAAAUCAGCACGGCCCUUACGUCCGGGGCUACACACGUGUUACAAUGGGGGGUACAGAAGGCAGCUACCUGGCGACAGGAUGCUAAUCCCAAAAACCUCUCUCAGUUCGGAUCGAAGUCUGCAACCCGACUUCGUGAAGCUGGAUUCGCUAGUAAUCGCGCAUCAGCCAUGGCGCGGUGAAUACGUUCCCGGGCCUUGUACACACCGCCCGUCAAGCCAUGAAAGCCGGGGGUACCUGAAGUACGUAACCGCAGGAGCUCCUAGGAAAC
Molecule: ribosomal RNA, 1378 nt
Filed under: bacterium NLAE-zl-G363
Lineage: Bacteria
Description: bacterial SSU rRNA
Rfam family: Bacterial small subunit ribosomal RNA
Source: RNAcentral